This 429-nucleotide ribosomal RNA is filed under the name Bacteroidota bacterium. RNAcentral's name for it is "Bacteroidetes bacterium partial 16S ribosomal RNA". It matches the Rfam family "Bacterial small subunit ribosomal RNA", at positions 355 to 776 of the family's 1533-position model. Lineage: Bacteria; Pseudomonadati; Bacteroidota. The record is from RNAcentral.
UAGGGAAUCUUCGGCAAUGGGGGGAACCCUGACCGAGCAACGCCGCGUGAGUGAAGAAGGUUUUCGGAUCGUAAAGCUCUGUUGUUAAGGAAGAACGAGUGUGAGAAUGGAAAGUUCAUACUGUGACGGUACUUAACCAGAAAGGGACGGCUAACUACGUGCCAGCAGCCGCGGUAAUACGUAGGUCCCGAGCGUUGUCCGGAUUUAUUGGGCGUAAAGCGAGCGCAGGCGGUUAGAUAAGUCUGAAGUUAAAGGCAGUGGCUCAACCAUUGUAGGCUUUGGAAACUGUUUAACUUGAGUGCAGAAGGGGGGAGUGGAAUUCCAUGUGUAGCGGUGAAAUGCGUAGAUAUAUGGAGGAACACCGGUGGCGAAAGCAGCUCUCUGGUCUGUAACUGACGCUGAGGCUCGAAAGCGUGGGGAGCGAACAGG